UCGACGCCGCGGCCGUUGCCGGCUCCCACACCCGCGGGCCUUUAUCUCCCCGGCGGCCGCCGCCGCCGCCCUGCUCGUCCAGCGGGCUGGCCCUGUCCAUGGGGCGUAGGGGCUACCCGCGCCCUUCGACGCCCGCACGCGCCUCCUUCUGCCCUUCCGCCGCGGACGAUGCCGACUUCUCUGAGUCUAAUGCGAUCCUGGUGGUGGCCACGCCCUGCGAGAGUCUGCUGCUGCUCAGCCCAGCGUCUUGCCGUGGCGGGCGCCUGUCGUCGGAGCUCUGGUUGUCGGUUCCAGAGUCGGGUGGUUCCACACAGGGGCGCAUAUCCCGUUGUGCCACCAAUCACUUAAUUCGGCUCUCUUGAGCUGCCCGGCUUCGGCGGCGAAGAUGAUGGCGAUGCCUAGGACAUAACGGCCACAUGGGAUGAAACUAGCAGAGAUGAAGAAGGCGGUGGUCGUUGGGAGGAGAAGAUUGCCCGGAAGCUGGAGGACGUGCACCAGCUGCGGUUGCUGGACAACCGCUACGUUUAGUGGCUGAGGGAAUUGUUGGGCUACGAGAAUCAGUCGCUGAUAAGAGGGCUGAGGCUGAGAAGAUCAAGAGGGAUCAGAGAUUGUGCUCAAUUGUUGGUGGUCAGGACGUCAGUUUGCAGGAGUUAUCUGAAGAAAGGACUCACUAUCUGGUUAAAUGUUCCAUUGGAUGCCCUUGCAAGAAGGAUUGCUGCGGUGGUUCAGCGUCAUUGCCCCUCCUGCAUCAACAAUCUGGUGAUCCAUAUGCAAAGGUUCAGAAGAGCUAUUUUGUGUACAUGAGUUGCUACUGGCAGUGGACAGAUUGUCUAUGCAGAGUGCGUAGAGAAAAAAAUGCUCACACACAAACACAAACGACAUCCAGUAGGCGCUUGGAACACCCGACAGAUUGAAAGCACAGAAGCAAAGAUUUCCAAUACGAGGCCACGAUGCCCGACAGAGAUGUAGCCAAUAUGUGCCCAAUCCUUAUUUCUUGAUGUUGGAACAACAAGUAAGAGCAUGUUCAUGUUUACUUAUUAUGUUUUUUGAGAAAUUUAUGGGAUUUACAAGCUGAAAUUAUUGACUGCUUCAAAAUAUGUUUUAACCAAAACUGUUUGCACGAUAUUUCCCUGGUUCUGCAUUCAUGGAAUU
This is a long non-coding RNA of Triticum dicoccoides, 1152 nucleotides long. RefSeq lists it as uncharacterized. NCBI's taxonomy places the organism in Eukaryota, Viridiplantae, Streptophyta, Magnoliopsida, Poales, Poaceae. The record is from RefSeq and is a predicted model, not a curated record. The transcript has 4 exons.